Molecule: regulatory RNA element, 88 nt
Organism: Drosophila melanogaster (fruit fly)
Lineage: Eukaryota; Metazoa; Arthropoda; Insecta; Diptera; Drosophilidae
Rfam family: R2 RNA element
About the family: This family represents the 3' UTR region of the R2 retrotransposable element.
Source: Rfam
UGUUUUAUUACGUAGGCAUAAUUCCAAUGGGCAUUAUGAAUUGUGCAUGCCACCUACGGACGGUAGGUGGUAUCUUUAGAAGAUUUUA